Molecule: non-coding RNA, 126 nt
Organism: Xylaria castorea
Lineage: Eukaryota; Fungi; Ascomycota; Sordariomycetes; Xylariales; Xylariaceae
Source: the annotation of a GenBank genome assembly
UCUCGAUUGGUCUAGUGGUGAGGAUACCUGCUUGUCAUUCUACAAUUCGAUCCCAUCUGUUAGGUGGUGUUGUUUUAGUAUAGAAACAAAUCGCAGGUGGCCGGGGUUCGAUUCCCCGAUCGAGAG